GACGAACGCUGGCGGCGUGCUUAACACAUGCAAGUCGAACGGAAAGGCCCUGCUUUUGUGGGGUGCUCGAGUGGCGAACGGGUGGGUAACACGUGAGUAACCUGCCCUUGACUUUGGGAUAACUUCAGGAAACUGGGGCUAAUACCGGAUAGGAGCUCCUGCUGCAUGGUGGGGGUUGGAAAGUUUCGGCGGUUGGGGAUGGACUCGCGGCUUAUCAGCUUGUUGGUGGGGUAGUGGCUUACCAAGGCUUUGACGGGUAGCCGGCCUGAGAGGGUGACCGGCCACAUUGGGACUGAGAUACGGCCCAGACUCCUACGGGAGGCAGCAGUGGGGAAUAUUGCACAAUGGGCGGAAGCCUGAUGCAGCAACGCCGCGUGCGGGAUGACGGCCUUCGGGUUGUAAACCGCUUUCGCCUGUGACGAAGCGUGAGUGACGGUAAUGGGUAAAGAAGCACCGGCUAACUACGUGCCAGCAGCCGCGGUGAUACGUAGGGUGCGAGCGUUGUCCGGAUUUAUUGGGCGUAAAGGGCUCGUAGGUGGUUGAUCGCGUCGGAAGUGUAAUCUUGGGGCUUAACCCUGAGCGUGCUUUCGAUACGGGUUGACUUGAGGAAGGUAGGGGAGAAUGGAAUUCCUGGUGGAGCGGUGGAAUGCGCAGAUAUCAGGAGGAACACCAGUGGCGAAGGCGGUUCUCUGGGCCUUUCCUGACGCUGAGGAGCGAAAGCGUGGGGAGCGAACAGGCUUAGAUACCCUGGUAGUCCACGCUGUAAACGGUGGGUACUAGGUGUGGGGUCCAUUCCACGGGUUCCGUGCCGUAGCUAACGCUUUAAGUACCCCGCCUGGGGAGUACGGCCGCAAGGCUAAAACUCAAAGGAAUUGACGGGGCCCCGCACAAGCGGCGGAGCAUGCGGAUUAAUUCGAUGCAACGCGUAGAACCUUACCUGGGUUUGACAUGGAUCGGGAGUGCUCAGAGAUGGGUGUGCCUCUUUUGGGGUCGGUUCACAGGUGGUGCAUGGCUGUCGUCAGCUCGUGUCGUGAGAUGUUGGGUUAAGUCCCGCAACGAGUGCAACCCUUGUUCACUGUUGCCAGCACGUUAUGGUGGGGACUCAGUGGAGACCGCCGGGGUCAACUCGGAGGAAGGUGGGGAUGACGUCAAGUCAUCAUGCCCCUUAUGUCCAGGGCUUCACGCAUGCUACAAUGGCUGGUACAGAGAGUGGCGAGCCUGUGAGGGUGAGCGAAUCUCGGAAAGCCGGUCUCAGUUCGGAUUGGGGUCUGCAACUCGACCUCAUGAAGUCGGAGUCGCUAGUAAUCGCAGAUCAGCAACGCUGCGGUGAAUACGUUCCCGGGGCU
Molecule: ribosomal RNA, 1346 nt
Filed under: uncultured bacterium
Lineage: Bacteria
Description: partial 16S ribosomal RNA
Rfam family: Bacterial small subunit ribosomal RNA
Source: RNAcentral